This 31-nucleotide non-coding RNA is filed under the name Mus musculus (house mouse). The record is from RNAcentral. Lineage: Eukaryota; Metazoa; Chordata; Mammalia; Rodentia; Muridae.
UGACCAGUUGCGGCUUUCCGAAAUGGGCUGU